RNAcentral lists this ribosomal RNA (433 nucleotides) under uncultured bacterium. Its description in RNAcentral is "partial 16S ribosomal RNA". It matches the Rfam family "Bacterial small subunit ribosomal RNA", at positions 29 to 507 of the family's 1533-position model. The record is from RNAcentral.
AACGAACGCUGGCGGCAGGCCUAACACAUGCAAGUCGAGCGAGGACUUCGGUUCUAGCGGCGGACGGGUGAGUAACGCGUGGGAAUGUGCCCUUCUCUACGGAAUAGCCCUGGGAAACUGGGAGUAAUACCGUAUACGCCCUUUUGGGGAAAGAUUUAUCGGAGAAGGAUCAGCCCGCGUUGGAUUAGGUAGUUGGUGGGGUAAUGGCCUACCAAGCCGACGAUCCAUAGCUGGUUUGAGAGGAUGAUCAGCCACACUGGGACUGAGACACGGCCCAGACUCCUACGGGAUGCAGCAGUCGGGAAUCUUAGACAGUGGGGGCAACCAUGAACUAGCCAUGCCGCGUGAGUGAUGAAGGCCGGAGAGUUGUAAAGCGCUUUCAGCUGGGAAGAGAAUGACGGUACCAGCAGAAGAAGCCCCGGCUAACUCCGUG